UGCCAGCCGCCGCGGUAAUACAGAGGGUGCGAGCGUUAAUCGGAGUUACUGGGCGUAAAGGGCGCGUAGGCGGUAGAUUAAGUCAGUUGUGAAAUCCCAGGGCUCAACCUUGGAACUGCAAUUGAUACUGGUCAACUAGAGUCGAAGAGAGGGAAGCGGAAUUUCCGGUGUAGCGGUGAAAUGCGUAGAUAUCGGAAGGAACACCCGUGGCGAAGGCGGCUUCCUGGCUUCAGACUGACGCUGAGGCGCGAAAGCGUGGGGAGCAAACAGGAUUAGAUA
This 279-nucleotide ribosomal RNA is filed under the name uncultured bacterium. Its description in RNAcentral is "partial 16S ribosomal RNA". It matches the Rfam family "Bacterial small subunit ribosomal RNA", at positions 506 to 784 of the family's 1533-position model. The record is from RNAcentral.